This 468-nucleotide ribosomal RNA is filed under the name uncultured bacterium. RNAcentral's name for it is "partial 16S ribosomal RNA". It matches the Rfam family "Bacterial small subunit ribosomal RNA", at positions 28 to 507 of the family's 1533-position model. The record is from RNAcentral.
GACGAACGCUGGCGGCGUGCUUAACACAUGCAAGUCGAACGGAAAGGCCUUUUUUUGGUGGUGUUCUCGAGUGGCAAACGGGUGAGUAACACGUGAGUAACGUGCUUUUCAUUUUGGUAUAACUUCAGGAAAGUGGGGCUAAUAGCAUAUAGGAUCUCCUGCUGCGUUGGGGGGGGUGGAAAGUCUCGGCGGUGGGGGAUGGACUCGCGGCUUAUCAGCUUGUUGGGGGGGUAGUGGCUUACCAAGGCUUUGACGGGUAGCCGGCCUGAGAGGGUGACCGGCCACAUUGGGACUGAGCUACGGCCCAGCCUCCUACGGGAGGCAGCAGUGGGGAAUAUUGCACCAUGGGCUGAAGCCUGAUGCAGCAAAGCCGCGUGCGGGAUGACGGCCUUCGGGUUGUAAACCGCUUUCGCCUGUGACGAAGCGUGAGUGACGGUAAUGGGUAAAGAAGCACCGGCUAACUACGUG